This 466-nucleotide ribosomal RNA is filed under the name uncultured Klebsiella sp. RNAcentral's name for it is "bacterial SSU rRNA". It matches the Rfam family "Bacterial small subunit ribosomal RNA", at positions 338 to 795 of the family's 1533-position model. The record is from RNAcentral. Lineage: Bacteria; Pseudomonadati; Pseudomonadota; Gammaproteobacteria; Enterobacterales; Enterobacteriaceae.
CCUACGGGCGGCAGCAGUGGGGAAUAUUGCACAAUGGGCGCAAGCCUGAUGCAGCCAUGCCGCGUGUGUGAAGAAGGCCUUCGGGUUGUAAAGCACUUUCAGCGGGGAGGAAGGCGGUGAGGUUAAUAACCUCAUCGAUUGACGUUACCCGCAGAAGAAGCACCGGCUAACCUCCGUGCCAGCAGCCGCGGUAAUACGGAGGGUGCAAGCGUUAAUCGGAAUUACUGGGCGUAAAGCGCACGCAGGCGGUCUGUCAAGUCGGAAGUGAAAUCCCCGGGCUCAACCUGGGAACUGCAUUCGAAACUGGCAGGCUAGAGUCUUGUAGAGGGGGGUAGAAUUCCAGGUGUAGCGGUGAAAUGCGUAGAGAUCUGGAGGAAUACCGGUGGCGAAGGCGGCCCCCUGGACAAAGACUGACGCUCAGGUGCGAAAGCGUGGGGAGCAAACAGGAUUAGAUACCCCGGUAGUC